GACGAACGCUGGCGGCGUGCUUAACACAUGCAAGUCGAACGGAAAGGCCCUGCUUUUGUGGGGUGCUCGAGUGGCGAACGGGUGAGUAACACGUGAGUAACCUGCCCUUGACUUUGGGAUAACUUCAGGAAACUGGGGCUAAUACCGGAUAGGAGCUCCUGCUGCAUGGUGGGGGUUGGAAAGUUUCGGCGGUUGGGGAUGGACUCGCGGCUUAUCAGCUUGUUGGUGGGGUAGUGGCUUACCAAGGCUUUGACGGGUAGCCGGCCUGAGAGGGUGACCGGCCACAUUGGGACUGAGAUACGGCCCAGACUCCUACGGGAGGCAGCAGUGGGGAAUAUUGCACAAUGGGCGGAAGCCUGAUGCAGCAACGCCGCGUGCGGGAUGACGGCCUUCGGGUUGUAAACCGCCUUCGCCUGUGACGAAGCGUGAGUGACGGUAAUGGGUAAGGAAGCACCGGCUAACUACGUG
This 468-nucleotide ribosomal RNA is filed under the name uncultured bacterium. RNAcentral describes it as "partial 16S ribosomal RNA". It matches the Rfam family "Bacterial small subunit ribosomal RNA", at positions 28 to 507 of the family's 1533-position model. The record is from RNAcentral.